Non-coding RNA from Styela clava, 1125 nucleotides. NCBI's taxonomy places the organism in Eukaryota, Metazoa, Chordata, Ascidiacea, Stolidobranchia, Styelidae. The record is from RefSeq and is a predicted model, not a curated record.
AUCAAAAGCACAAAAUUUACAUUAGAUAUACCGGUACUUCGUGUGUAAAAUUCUAGUAUUCUUUGUAACCCCAAAACUUUGUUGCUGCGUCUCACACGUGGUGUCGCGACCCCAGUUUGGAAAGCUCUGCGCUAAAUCGAGUUCUUAUCAAUUGUCUCCAUCGGUACGCACUUGGCUUGAGAAACUAAAUAUGAUCUUCACUUGUAACCCGAUUAUAUUGCUUUGUAUGUCAUGUCUCCAACGUUUGGUUUGGAAGGAGAAAUUAGUGUAAACUGGACAUUCAGACAAUUACAAGUAAUAUCAGGCAAAGGCCCACUGUUAUCUGCAUUGUUUAUGUUUUGUGAUCACGCGUCAGAAGCGUGAUGGGCUUGUGGCGAUCCAGGGUUGACCUGGAGUAACGGGACCAAUUAAAAACGUUUGGUUACAAAUCAUUAUUGUUUUCGGUCUUUUUCGCGCGGGAAGCUACAUGCGACAACGCUUCAGUAGCAAUUGUACAAGGUGGGGUGCGGUCGAUUUUGUCGUAGGCUUGUUCCAGAAUCUUACACCAACUCUUUAGUAAGCUGUAUCUUCGGACUAAUAUUCAGCUUCCUAGAACACUGCUUGAAAGUUGGCAAGACAGUACAUCAUUUCAUCAGAAGAAAUUUGUCAUUGUCAUUUCUCUGGUAUUUAUCACUGAUUGAGAUGGAAGCCUAUCGAGGCUGAAGAGCAAAGCAAGCAUGUUUGUAAUGGUUCAAUCUUUACGGUGAGAUCUGGGAGUUAAUUCCUUGACAUAUUCGAUGGAUACUCUUGUUGGUCUUGUUUCUGUUGCACUCUUUGAAACAAUUGCACUUGCUGGGGUCCACAAACUCGAGGACAAGCUUCGAAAAUGACACAGAGAGAAUGAUUCAUUCAAACCUGGAUUGUAUUGGAAAAUAUCAUGAAAUAUGCCUGCCCAAAUAUUAUGGUCGUUAUCCUGAUUGCAAGCUCCCGUGGACAUCUUUCUAGCUACUACGCUUGGAACAAAGACACUGGCUCGAAAGACGAGUUAACUUUAUUAUUGUAACAUUGAUACAAAGCUUGAAGUUCUAUGUUUCGUUAUUUGCGGGUCUUGUAAGUUUUGGAAUUUUCAACCCGGAAUGGAUUGGU